UUGCAGCUGGCUUCCCACUCUACAGCCCCCGAUUUACUCACAGGGCACUUCCCAGCCCCCUGCUCGCUCCUUUUCCCACUCAGUUUCCAGGAAGGCCGAGCAGCACAGGGCCCAGCAUGGAUCCCAAAAGGACUCCAUCGAUGGCUUUACUUCUACAAUUAACAAAAUGAUUAUUCACUCCUCUGUCACCUUUCUCUUAACCAAGUAAUAACUCUCAUUUCUUACCCCACAGCAGCUCUGAUUCUCUAUCAGCCUUUGGUGAGGAACAUUGUCACAUGCCAACAGCACUUAUCCACUGCAGAUGUACACAGAAAAAAAAUGGGAAGAAACCUGUAAUUAACCUUCUUUACAAGUUCCCUGAGGGUACGUACUCACGACUCAACAUGUCAAACCUGGAGUGUUUCCAAAAUGUUGGCAUCUUUCAUAGCCCAAAAGCACUGUAUAAGACAAGGAGUAAUUUUCAACGUGCAGAUAUGAAGGCUUCAAACACACCUACAGCACUGGACAGAGAUGACAGCACCACAGGAUUCUGAUUUAGGGUUACUCUACCUUCAGUAACGCUCCUUCUGAGGGACAGACAAUUAAACCACUCCAGUGAUUUCAUUUGAGGACUGACUAUUAUUCUUUAAAAAUCCAAAGCUAGAGCGGAAUUCUUCAUUUUUACUGCUCUUUCCAACUGUAAGGAAACAAAUUAGAAGCAGUAGGCAUUUUCCAAAACUGAGCAAAUGCGCUUUGAAGGCCACG
This is a non-coding RNA of Anas platyrhynchos (mallard), 744 nucleotides long. The record is from RefSeq and is a predicted model, not a curated record. NCBI's taxonomy places the organism in Eukaryota, Metazoa, Chordata, Aves, Anseriformes, Anatidae.